AUUGAACGCUGGCGGCAGGCCUAACACAUGCAAGUCGAACGGUAACAGGAAGACGCUUGCUUCUUUGCUGACGAGUGGCGGACGGGUGAGUAAUGUCUGGGAAACUGCCUGAUGGAGGGGGAUAACUACUGGAAACGGUAGCUAAUACCGCAUAACGUCGCAAGACCAAAGAGGGGGACCUUCGGGCCUCUUGCCAUCGGAUGUGCCCAGAUGGGAUUAGCUAGUAGGUGGGGUAAGGGCUCACCUAGGCGACGAUCCCUAGCUGGUCUGAGAGGAGGACCCGCCCCACCGGAACCUGGGCACCGGCCCAACCCCCACGGGAGGCCGGAGGUGGGAAUUUUUGCACAAGGGGGGAAGCCUUAUUGCGGCCUGGCGCGGGUAAUAAGAAGGGCCUUCGGUUGGUAAAGUAUUUUAGCGGGGAGGAAAGGAGUUAAGUUAAUACCUUUGCUCAUUGACGUUACCCGCAGAAGAAGCACCGGCUAACUCCGUG
This 490-nucleotide ribosomal RNA is filed under the name uncultured bacterium. Its description in RNAcentral is "partial 16S ribosomal RNA". It matches the Rfam family "Bacterial small subunit ribosomal RNA", at positions 30 to 507 of the family's 1533-position model. The record is from RNAcentral.